AGGCUUGUAGCUCCAGUGGAUAGAGCGCACCCCCUGAUAAGGUGAGGUACGGUGGUUCAAGAUCCACUCAGGCCUACCA
RNAcentral lists this transfer RNA (79 nucleotides) under Serratia sp. CMO1. RNAcentral's name for it is "tRNA-Ile". The record is from RNAcentral. Lineage: Bacteria; Pseudomonadati; Pseudomonadota; Gammaproteobacteria; Enterobacterales; Yersiniaceae.